UAUGAAGGGGGCUAGCGUUGCUCGGAAUCACUGGGCGUAAAGCGCACGUAGGCGGCUUGUUAAGUCAGGGGUGAAAUCCUGGAGCUCAACUCCAGAACUGCCUUUGAUACUGGCGAGCUUGAGUUCGGGAGAGGUGAGUGGAACUGCGAGUGUAGAGGUGAAAUUCGUAGAUAUUCGCAAGAACACCAGUGGCGAAGGCGGCUCACUGGCCCGAUACUGACGCUGAGGUGCGAAAGCGUGGGGAGCAAACAGG
Molecule: ribosomal RNA, 253 nt
Filed under: uncultured bacterium
Lineage: Bacteria
Description: partial 16S ribosomal RNA
Rfam family: Bacterial small subunit ribosomal RNA
Source: RNAcentral